This 253-nucleotide ribosomal RNA is filed under the name uncultured bacterium. RNAcentral describes it as "partial 16S ribosomal RNA". It matches the Rfam family "Bacterial small subunit ribosomal RNA", at positions 524 to 776 of the family's 1533-position model. The record is from RNAcentral.
UACGUAGGGUGCAAGCGUUAAUCGGAAUUACUGGGCGUAAAGCGUGCGCAGGCGGCUUUGCAAGACAGAUGUGAAAUCCCCGGGCUCAACCUGGGAACUGCAUUUGUGACUGCAUCGCUCGAGUGCGGCAGAGGGGGAUGGAAUUCCGCGUGUAGCAGUGAAAUGCGUAGAUAUGCGGAGGAACACCGAUGGCGAAGGCAAUCCCCGGGGCCUGCACUGACGUUCAUGCACGAAAGCGUGGGGAGCAAACAGG